AAGACGCGGAGAUGAUGGAACGAACGAGAUGCAGGAGAUUUGGAUAAGGAAGAUCUUGGAAGAGAGUUCCUUCGUGAUGCUUGGGGAGAGGGUUUUGUUUCCGUGGGUGGUUGAAGGCUAUCACGAAUGGUAAGAAAUCUGGAACGAAUCCGGAUCGGUGAGCUUGUUCUUUAGAUGCGGAAGGGCUCUUGUUCGUGGACGUGGAGGGAUCCUUGGAUGAGGAGUUCGGAUGAUGCAGAUGACGUGGAAGAUGAACACAGGCGCGAGGGAAAUCUAGGAAGGUUCACUGGCUUGAUCCGAAGAAGAGGAUGAUGUGGAGGACUCUGUUCCAUUUGGGAGAAUGGUUUGAAGAUUUGCAUUUGAUUUGGCUUCGCUGGGAUCAAUCCGAGAGUUUGGGGGUGCUGCCGUUAGCUGAAUGCGGCUGGGAGAAAAUGUGGGAAGGGAUUGGAUUCGGUUGAGGACAUGGACGAAGAUGAGGAGGAAGAGCUUGGACCUUAUUCGUGGGAGAUAAGCAUGGCUGGAGAUGGAGCUAAUCCGGCUUAUCCGGGUUGGGAUCUAGCAGAAGAAGCUGGGAGAUUCGUGGAAGAAUGCAGACGUGGGAAAUGAAGGAGAGAGACUUGUUCGUAUUCAUAAAUUGUUUGGGAUGGCACGUGCGGAGAAAUGAAAAUUAGGGUCGACUCUAAUUGGUUGGGAGGAUCUGAUUCAUGGGAUGCAUGGGAUUUGGGUUUAGGGUCAUCCCAAAUGAGUUUCACUCAUCCUGCAUUCAUUAGGAUCAAUUAAUAAAUAAUUAAAUCACACUCGAAUUAAUUUAUUAAAAUGCAAUAAUGAGGGUAACACAUCUUUUAUGGUUAAAGUUACAAAAUAUGUGUAUUAAAAUAAUGAUAAGUGCUAUGAGAACGAGGUUAAUUUAGGUAUUAUUUCGCACUUAUCACACCCCCCAACCUACAUUUUGCUAGCCCUCGAGCAAAAUAAAAGCUAACUCA
Molecule: long non-coding RNA, 983 nt
Filed under: Phoenix dactylifera (date palm)
Lineage: Eukaryota; Viridiplantae; Streptophyta; Magnoliopsida; Arecales; Arecaceae
Description: long non-coding RNA (PDAC_LNC015071)
Source: RNAcentral